Molecule: ribosomal RNA, 254 nt
Filed under: uncultured bacterium
Lineage: Bacteria
Description: partial 16S ribosomal RNA
Rfam family: Bacterial small subunit ribosomal RNA
Source: RNAcentral
UACGUAGGAGGCGAGCGUUGUCCGGAAUUACUGGGCGUAAAGAGCGCGUAGGCGGCACGGUACGACCGGUGUGAAAGCCCCCGGCUCAACUGGGGAGGGUCACCGGUAACGGCCGAACUACGAGUGCAGGAGAGGGAAGUGGAACUCCGGGAGUAGCGGUGAAAUGCGUAGAGACCCGGAGGAACACCAGUGGCGAAGGCGGCUUCCUGGUCUGCAACUGACGCUGUGGCGCGAAAGCUAGGGGAGCAAACGGG